RNAcentral lists this ribosomal RNA (252 nucleotides) under uncultured bacterium. Its description in RNAcentral is "partial 16S ribosomal RNA". It matches the Rfam family "Bacterial small subunit ribosomal RNA", at positions 524 to 776 of the family's 1533-position model. The record is from RNAcentral.
UACGUAGGUCCCGAGCGUUGUCCGGAUUUAUUGGGUGUAAAGCGAGCGCAGGUGGUUUAUUAAGUCUGGUGUAAAAGGCAGUGGCUCAACCAUUGUAUGCAUUGGAAACUGGUAGACUUGAGUGCAGGAGAGGAGAGUGGAAUUCCAUGUGUAGCGGUGAAAUGCGUAGAUAUAUGGAGGAACACCGGUGGCGAAAGCGGCUCUCUGGUCUGUAACUGACGCUGAGGCUCGAAAGCGUGGGUAGCGAACAGG